Molecule: ribosomal RNA, 253 nt
Filed under: uncultured bacterium
Lineage: Bacteria
Description: partial 16S ribosomal RNA
Rfam family: Bacterial small subunit ribosomal RNA
Source: RNAcentral
UACGUAGGGUGCGAGCGUUGUCCGGAAUUACUGGGCGUAAAGGGCCAGUAGGCGGCCAACUAAGUCGGAUGUGAAAUCCCCAGGCUCAACCUGGGAACUGCAUCCGAUACUGGAUGGCUUGAAUUCGGGAGAGGGAUGCAGAAUUCCAGGUGUAGCGGUGAAAUGCGUAGAUAUCUGGAGGAAUACCGGUGGCGAAGGCGGCAUCCUGGACCGACAUUGACGCUGAACGGCGAAAGCUAGGGGAGCAAACGGG